AGAGUUUGAUUCUGGCUCAGAACGAACGCUGGCGGCGUGGAUAAGACAUGCAAGUCGAACGGGGCCAUCAGAGUAGCAAUAUGAUGAUGGUUCAGUGGCGAACGGGUGCGUAACACGUGGAUACAUUCCGGGAAGCGGGGGAUAGCCCAGGGAAACUUGGAUUAAUACCGCAUGUGAUCGAAAGAUCAAAGACGGGGACCGCAAGGCCUGUCACUUCCCGAUUGGUCCGCGGCCUAUCAGCUAGUUGGCGGGGUAAAAGCCCACCAAGGCGACGACGGGUAGCUGGUCUGAGAGGACGACCAGCCACACUGGAACUGAGACACGGUCCAGACACCUACGGGUGGCAGCAGUCGAGAAUCUUUCACAAUGGGGGCAACCCUGAUGGAGCGACGCCGCGUGGAGGAUAAGGUCUUCGGAUUGUAAACUCCUGUCAUGUGUGAACAAGGCAGCCGGGCUAAUACCCUGAGCUGAUUGAUGGUAACACAAGAGGAAGAGACGGCUAACUCUGUGCCAGCAGCCGCGGUAAUACAGAGGUCUCAAGCGUUGUUCGGAAUCACUGGGCGUAAAGGGUGCGUAGGUGGCGUGGUAAGUCAGAUGUGAAAGCCCGGGGCUCAACCUCGGAAUUGCAUCCGAUACUGCCGUGCUCGAGUACUGGAGAGGUGACUAGAAUUCUAGGUGUAGCAGUGAAAUGCGUAGAUAUCUAGAGGAAUACCAAAGGCGUAGGCAGGUCACUGGACAGUUACUGACACUGAGGCACGAAGGCCAGGGGAGCAAACGGGAUUAGAUACCCCGGUAGUCCUGGCAGUAAACGGUGCACACUUGGUGUGGGAGGAUUCGACCCCUCCCGUGCCGGAGCUAACGCGUUAAGUGUGCCGCCUGGGAAGUACGGUCGCAAGAUUAAAACUCAAAGAAAUUGACGGGGACCCGCACAAGCGGUGGAGUAUGUGGCUUAAUUCGAUGCAACGCGAAGAACCUUACCUGGUCUCGACAUGCUUUGUGUCUUCUGUGAAAGCAGAAUACGGUAGCAAUACCGGCUUAGCACAGGUGCUGCAUGGCUGUCGUCAGCUCGUGUCGUGAGAUGUUGGGUUAAGUCCC
This 1095-nucleotide ribosomal RNA is filed under the name biofilm metagenome. Its description in RNAcentral is "bacterial SSU rRNA". It matches the Rfam family "Bacterial small subunit ribosomal RNA", at positions 8 to 1088 of the family's 1533-position model. The record is from RNAcentral.